AAAAAUUUAGUUAAAAUAUAACAUUAAUUUGUCAAAUUAAAAUAAUCAUAAAUUGAUAAUUUUUA
Molecule: transfer RNA, 65 nt
Filed under: Popillia sp. POP01
Lineage: Eukaryota; Metazoa; Arthropoda; Insecta; Coleoptera; Scarabaeidae
Description: tRNA-Asp
Source: RNAcentral